UUUGCAGUACUUGUUAGGGAGCUCAAGGACCGUAGUAGCAUAUAUUAAAGCUACACUAAUCUUCAUCGCUAAGAUCACACAUUGUCUACAUCCUCAACAUUAGGAUAUUCCAAGUAACACUUCUCCUCGUCUUCCUCGUCACGGGUUCCAUCUUCAUCUUGUAAACUCCAAGUAACCAUCUUCCAAAACGCAGCACUCCACUUCUCUUCCCUCUUCA
RNAcentral lists this long non-coding RNA (217 nucleotides) under Brassica napus (rape). RNAcentral describes it as "long non-coding RNA (BNAP_LNC006743)". The record is from RNAcentral. Lineage: Eukaryota; Viridiplantae; Streptophyta; Magnoliopsida; Brassicales; Brassicaceae.